AUACGUAGGGAGCGAGCGUUGUCCGGAAUUACUGGGCGUAAAGGGCGCGUAGGCGGCCAGACAAGUUGUAUGUGAAAGACCAGGGCUCAACUCUGGGGGGUCAUACAAAACUGUCGGGCUUGAGUGUGGUAGAGGAUAGCGGAAUUCCUAGUGUAGCGGUGAAAUGCGUAGAUAUUAGGAGGAACACCAGUGGCGAAGGCGGAUAUCUGGGCCACAACUGACGCUGAGGCGCGAAAGCGUGGGGAGCAAACAGGAUUAGAUACCCUGGUAGUCCACGCUGUAAACGAUGAAUGCUAGGUGUAGGGGGUAUCGACCCCUUCUGUGCCGCAGUUAACACAAUAAGCAUUCCGCCUGGGGAGUACGGCCGCAAGGUUGAAACUCAAAUGAAUUGGCGGGG
This 397-nucleotide ribosomal RNA is filed under the name uncultured bacterium. RNAcentral describes it as "partial 16S ribosomal RNA". It matches the Rfam family "Bacterial small subunit ribosomal RNA", at positions 523 to 918 of the family's 1533-position model. The record is from RNAcentral.